AACGAACGCUGGCGGCGCGCUUAACACAUGCAAGUCGAACGAGAAGGCGUAGCAAUACGCUUGUAAAGUGGCGAACGGGUGAGGAAUACAGUGGGUAACCUACCCUCGAGUGGGGAUAACCCGCCGAAAGGCGGGCUAAGUACCGCGUACGCUUCCGAUCUUGCGGGAUCGGAAGGAAGCUGUCCCUUGGGGAUGGCGCUCAAGGAUGGGCUCAUGUCCUAUCAGCUU
Molecule: ribosomal RNA, 228 nt
Filed under: uncultured bacterium
Lineage: Bacteria
Description: partial 16S ribosomal RNA
Rfam family: Bacterial small subunit ribosomal RNA
Source: RNAcentral